GAAUCAGUGGGGAAAAUAGACCCUGUUGAGCUUCACUCUAGUCUGGCACUGUGAAGAGACAGGAGAGGUGUAGAAUAAAUGGUGGGCCCCCCUCCUGGGGGCACCGCCGGUGAAAUACCAUUACUCUUAUCUUUUCCUCACUUACCUGGUGAGGCGGGAGGGCGAGCCCCACACAGGCUCUUGUUUCUGUCACCCACCAGCCAUGACCCACUCCGGGAACAGAAGCAGGUAGGGAGUUUGACCUGUCAAAUGGCAAUGCAGGUAUCCUAAGACGAGCUCAGGGAAGACAGAAACCCCCCGUGGAGCAGAAGGGCAAAAGCUCGCUUGAUCUUGACUUUCAGUAUGAAUACAGACCGUGAAAGUGGGGCCUCACAAUCUUUUUGAUUGUUGGGGUUUUAAGCAGGAGAUGUCAGAAAACUUACCACAGGGAUAACUGGAUUGUGGCAGCCAAGCGUUAAUGGCGACGUCGCUUUUUGAUCCUUUGAUGUCAGCUCUUCCUGUCAUUGUGAAGCAGAAUUCACCAAGUUUUGAAUUAUUCACCCACUAAUAGUUAAUAGUAGGUUAGUUUUACCAUACUGAUGAUGUGUUGUUGCAAUAGUAAUCCUGUUCAGUAUGAGAUAAAUCAUUCGCAGAUGACCUAGUUCUGGGUCAGGGUGUCGUACGUACUGUAGCAGAGCAGCCACCUCGCUAUUUUCUACUGAAUGUCAGCCCUCAAUCCAAGCUUUU
Lepisosteus oculatus (spotted gar) is the source of this 726-nucleotide ribosomal RNA. It matches the Rfam family "Eukaryotic large subunit ribosomal RNA", at positions 2391 to 3399 of the family's 3401-position model. Lineage: Eukaryota; Metazoa; Chordata; Actinopteri; Semionotiformes; Lepisosteidae. The record is from Rfam.